CCUACGGGAGGCUGCAGUGGGGAAUAUUGCACAAUGGGGGAAACCCUGAUGCAGCGACGCCGCGUGAGUGAAGAAGUAAUUCGUUACGUAAAGCUCUAUCAGCAGGGAAGAAAAUGACGGUACCUGACUAAGAAGCCCCGGCUAACUACGUGCCAGCAGCCGCGGUAAUACGUAGGGGGCAAGCGUUAUCCGGAUUUACUGGGUGUAAAGGGAGCGUAGACGGUGGCACAAGUCUGGAGUGAAAUGCCGCAGCUUAACUGCGGAACUGCUUUGGAAACUGGCAAACUGGAGUGCGGGAGGGGUAAGCGGAAUGCCUAGUGUAGCGGUGAAAUGCGUAGAUAUUAGGAGGAACACCGGUGGCGAAGGCGGCUUACUGGACCGUAACUGACGUUGAGGCUCGAAAGCGUGGGGAGCAAACAGGAUUAGAUACCCGGGUAGUC
RNAcentral lists this ribosomal RNA (440 nucleotides) under uncultured bacterium. RNAcentral's name for it is "partial 16S ribosomal RNA". It matches the Rfam family "Bacterial small subunit ribosomal RNA", at positions 338 to 795 of the family's 1533-position model. The record is from RNAcentral.